GUUACUAAGGAUACAGGUCUAUGGUUACUAAGGAUACAGGUCUAUGGUUACUAAGGAUACAGGUCUAUGGUUAAUAAGGAUACAGGUCUAUGGUUACUAAGGAUACAGGUCUAUGGCUAAUAAGGAUAUAGAUCUAUGGCUAAUAAGGAUACAGGUCUAUGGUUACUAAGGAUACAGGUCUAUGGUUACUAAGGAUACAGGCCUAUGGUUAAUAAGGAUACAGGUCUAUGGUUACUAAGGAUACAGGUCUAUGGUUACUAAGGAUACAGGCCUAUGGUUAAUAAGGAUACAGGUCUAUGGUUACUAAGGAUACAGGUCUAUGGUUACUAAGGAUACAGGUUGUCCUUUAUUGUUAUGAUCCUUGUCCUGAAGGCAGAACUGAGGGAUUUCCUCCUUGUCUAGGCCAGCUGCAAAGUCAACAUUGACUAUAUUGUAAAAAUGUAUACAAAUUAGGAUUUAAGAUUAGGGUUAAGGUUAGGACAAGGGUG
Molecule: long non-coding RNA, 488 nt
Organism: Oncorhynchus tshawytscha (Chinook salmon)
Lineage: Eukaryota; Metazoa; Chordata; Actinopteri; Salmoniformes; Salmonidae
Source: Ensembl